RNAcentral lists this ribosomal RNA (1341 nucleotides) under uncultured bacterium. RNAcentral's name for it is "partial 16S ribosomal RNA". It matches the Rfam family "Bacterial small subunit ribosomal RNA", at positions 28 to 1381 of the family's 1533-position model. The record is from RNAcentral.
GACGAACGCUGGCGGCGUGCUUAACACAUGCAAGUCGAACGGUAAGGCUCCAGCUUGCUGGGGUACACGAGUGGCGAACGGGUGAGUAACACGUGGGUGACCUGCCCUGCACUUCGGGAUAAGCCUGGGAAACUGGGUCUAAUACCGGAUAGGACCGCACCGUGAGGGUGUGGUGGAAAGUUUUUUCGGUGUGGGAUGGGCCCGCGGCCUAUCAGCUUGUUGGUGGGGUAAUGGCCUACCAAGGCGGCGACGGGUAGCCGGCCUGAGAGGGUGGACGGCCACAUUGGGACUGAGACACGGCCCAGACUCCUACGGGAGGCAGCAGUGGGGAAUAUUGCACAAUGGGCGGAAGCCUGAUGCAGCGACGCCGCGUGGGGGAUGACGGCCUUCGGGUUGUAAACUCCUUUCACCAUCGACGAAGGGUUUCUGACGGUAGAUGGAGAAGAAGCACCGGCUAACUACGUGCCAGCAGCCGCGGUAAUACGUAGGGUGCGAGCGUUGUCCGGAAUUACUGGGCGUAAAGAGCUCGUAGGUGGUUUGUCGCGUCGUCUGUGAAAUUCCGGGGCUUAACUCCGGGCGUGCAGGCGAUACGGGCAUAACUUGAGUACUGUAGGGGAGACUGGAAUUCCUGGUGUAGCGGUGAAAUGCGCAGAUAUCAGGAGGAACACCGGUGGCGAAGGCGGGUCUCUGGGCAGUAACUGACGCUGAGGAGCGAAAGCAUGGGGAGCGAACAGGAUUAGAUACCCUGGUAGUCCAUGCCGUAAACGGUGGGCGCUAGGUGUGGGUUUCCUUCCACGGGAUCCGUGCCGUAGCUAACGCAUUAAGCGCCCCGCCUGGGGAGUACGGCCGCAAGGCUAAAACUCAAAGGAAUUGACGGGGGCCCGCACAAGCGGCGGAGCAUGUGGAUUAAUUCGAUGCAACGCGAAGAACCUUACCUGGGCUUGACAUAUACAGGAUCGCGCCAGAGAUGGUGUUUCCCCUGUGGCUUGUAUACAGGUGGUGCAUGGUUGUCGUCAGCUCGUGUCGUGAGAUGUUGGGUUAAGUCCCGCAACGAGCGCAACCCUUGUCUUAUGUUGCCAGCACGUUGUGGUGGGGACUCGUAAGAAACUGCCGGGGUUAACUCGGAGGAAGGUGGGGAUGACGUCAAAUCAUCAUGCCCCUUAUGUCCAGGGCUUCACACAUGCUACAAUGGUCGGUACAGUGGGUUGCCAGUCCGUGAGGGCGAGCUAAUCCCGCAAAGCCGGUCUCAGUUCGGAUCGGGGUCUGCAACUCGACCCCGUGAAGUCGGAGUCGCUAGUAAUCGCAGAUCAGCAACGCUGCGGUGAAUACGUUCCCGGGCCU